Molecule: ribosomal RNA, 954 nt
Filed under: human gut metagenome
Description: bacterial LSU rRNA
Rfam family: Bacterial large subunit ribosomal RNA
Source: RNAcentral
UAGCGAAAUUCCUUGUCGGGUAAGUUCCGACCUGCACGAAUGGCGUAACGACUUCUGUGCUGUCUUGACCGCGAACUCGGCGAAAUUGCAUUACGAGUAAAGAUGCUCGUUACGCGCAGCAGGACGGAAAGACCCCGGGACCUUUACUAUAGCUUGGUAUUGGUGGCUGGUUGUGUUUGUGUAGGAUAGGUGGGAGACGUUGAAGCAGUCACGCUAGUGGUUGUGGAGUCGGCAAGUGAAAUACCACUCUGAUGUUGCUGGUUAUCUGAACCUGGACCCAUUAUCUGGGUUAGGGACAGUGCCUGGUGGGUAGUUUAACUGGGGCGGUUGCCUCCUAAAUGGUAACGGAGGCGCUCAAAGGUUUCCUCAUCCUGGUUGGUAAUCAGGGUUCGAGUGUAAGUGCACAAGGAAGCUUGACUGUGACACUGACGGGUGGAGCAGGUACGAAAGUAGGAACUAGUGAUCCGGCAAUGGCUUAUGGAAGCGUUGUCGCUCAACGGAUAAAAGGUACCCCGGGGAUAACAGGCUGAUCUUGCCCAAGAGUCCAUAUCGACGGCAUGGUUUGGCACCUCGAUGUCGGCUCGUCGCAUCCUGGGGCUGGAGUUGGUCCCAAGGGUUGGGCUGUUCGCCCAUUAAAGCGGUACGCGAGCUGGGUUCAGAACGUCGUGAGACAGUUCGGUCGCUAUCCGCUGCGCGCGUUAAGACUUGAGAAAGUCCUGUCCCUAGUACGAGAGGACCGGGAUGGACGAACCUCUGGUGUGCCAGUUGUACCGCCAGGUGCAUGGCUGGUUGGCUAUGUUCGGAAAGGAUAACCGCUGAAAGCAUCUAAGCGGGAAGCCUGCUUUAAGAUGAGGUCUUUUAGGUUCCCAGCAGACUACUGGGUAGAUAGGCCAGAAGUGUACACGUUGUAAAACGCAAAGCUGACUGGUACUAAACAACCAUUAAAAAACAAAC